Molecule: ribosomal RNA, 720 nt
Filed under: uncultured organism
Description: bacterial SSU rRNA
Rfam family: Bacterial small subunit ribosomal RNA
Source: RNAcentral
UAUGACGGUACCCUUUCCAAUAAGAGGUUGCUAACUCUGUGCCAGCAGCAGCGGUAAUACAGAGACCUCGAGCGUUAUCCGGAUUUACUGGGCGUAAAAGCGUCUGUAACGGGGUUUGUUAAGUUCCAAGUACCAUCUUAAUGCUCAACUUUCAAGUUCGCUUGGAAAACUCGUAGUCUGGAGUCCAGCAGAGGUGCUAUGGAACUUGCGGGUGUAGGAGUGAAAUCCGUGGAUAUCGCAUAGGAACUCCAUAGGCGAAGGCUAGUGCACUGGGCUGGUACUGACCCUGAGUGACGAAUAGCCUGGGGAGCAAUACGGAUUAGAUACCAGUGUAGUCCACGCUGUAAACGAUGGAUAAUAGAUGUUCGGGGAUUUGACCCCCUGGGUGUCACAGCUAAAGCGUUAAGUAUCCCGCCUGGAAAGUACGGCAGAAAGGCUGAUACUCAAAGGAAUAGACGGGGAUCCGCACAAGCGGUGGAGCGUCUGGACUAAUUUGAUAGUAAGCAAUGGACCUCACCAAGGUUUGACAUCCUAUGACAACCGUGGAAACAGGGCUUCCUUCGGGUAUAGUGACAGGUAUCGCAUGAUAGUCGUCAGUUCGUGCCGUGAGAUGUUCCGUUAAGUCGGGAAACGAUCGAAACCCUCGUCGCAUGUUACAAAUUUCAUGUGAGACUGCCUGGGUCAACCGUGGAGGAAGGCGGGGAUGACGUCAGAUCUGCA